RNAcentral lists this ribosomal RNA (253 nucleotides) under uncultured bacterium. RNAcentral's name for it is "partial 16S ribosomal RNA". It matches the Rfam family "Bacterial small subunit ribosomal RNA", at positions 524 to 776 of the family's 1533-position model. The record is from RNAcentral.
UACGUAGGCAGCGAGCGUUGUUCGGAGUUACUGGGCGUAAAGGGUGUGUAGGCGGUUCUUCAAGUCUCUUGUGAAAUCCCUCGGCUUAACCGGGGAACUGCGUCCGAUACUGGAUGGCUUGAGUUCGGGAGAGGGAUGCGGAAUUCCAGGUGUAGCGGUGAAAUGCGUAGAUAUCAGGAGGAACACCGGUGGCGAAGGCAGGUCUCUGGGCAUUAACUGACGCUGAGGAGCGAAAGCAUGGGGAGCGAACAGG